UGCCCCAAGAGGAGCUCGCGUCUGAUUAGCUAGUUGGUGAGGUAAGAGCUCACCAAGGCAGCGAUCAGUAGCUGGUCUGAGAGGACGAUCAGCCACACUAGGACUGAGACACGGCCCAGACUCCUACGGGAGGCAGCAGUGGGGAAUUUUCCGCAAUGGGCGAAAGCCUGACGGAGCAAGACCGCGUGAGGGAGGAAGGCUCUUGGGUUGUAAACCUCUUUUCUCAGGGAAGAAGCUCUGACGGUACCUGAGGAAUCAGCCUCGGCUAACUCCGUGCCAGCAGCCGCGGUAAUACGGAGGAGGCAAGCGUUAUCCGGAAUUAUUGGGCGUAAAGCGUCCGCAGGUGGCGAUUCAAGUCUGCUGUCAAAGCACGGGGCUUAACUCCGUUAAGGCAGUGGAAACUGAAUAGCUAGAGUGCCGUAGGGGUAGAGGGAAUUCCCGGUGUAGCGGUGAAAUGCGUAGAGAUCGGGAAGAACAUCGGUGGCGAAAGCGCUCUACUGGACGGCAACUGACACUCAGGGACGAAAGCUAGGGGAGCGAAUGGGAUUAGAUACCCCAGUAGUCCUAGCUGUAAACGAUGGAUACUAGGUGUAGCUUGUAUCGACCCGAGCUGUGCCGAAGCUAACGCGUUAAGUAUCCCGCCUGGGGAGUACGCACGCAAGUGUGAAACUCAAAGGAAUUGACGGGGGCCCGCACAAGCGGUGGAGUAUGUGGUUUAAUUCGAUGCAACGCGAAGAACCUUACCAGGGCUUGACAUGUCCGGAAUCCCGGUGAAAGCUGGGAGUGCCUUCGGGAGCCGGAACACAGGUGGUGCAUGGCUGUCGUCAGCUCGUGUCGUGAGAUGUUGGGUUAAGUCCCGCAACGAGCGCAACCCUCGUCUUUAGUUGCCAGCAUUAAGUUGGGCACUCUAGAGAGACUGCCGGUGACAAACCGGAGGAAGGUGGGGAUGACGUCAAGUCAGCAUGCCCCUUACGCUCUGGGCGACACACGUACUACAAUGGUCGGGACAGAGGGCAGCGAACCUGCGAAGGCAAGCUAAUCCCAGCAAACUCGGCCUCAGUUCAGAUCGCAGGCUGCAACUCGCCUGCGUGAAGGAGGAAUCGCUAGUAAUCGCCGGUCAGAAUACGGCGGUGAAUCCGUUCCCGGGC
Molecule: ribosomal RNA, 1148 nt
Filed under: uncultured organism
Description: bacterial SSU rRNA
Rfam family: Bacterial small subunit ribosomal RNA
Source: RNAcentral